CUGUAGCGCAAUGUAUAGCGCGUUGGACUUCUAAUCCAAAGGUCGUGGGCUUGAAACCCAUCUGAAAUGG
This 70-nucleotide transfer RNA is filed under the name Trichonephila clavata. Its description in RNAcentral is "tRNA-Arg". It matches the Rfam family "tRNA". Rfam says of the family: Transfer RNA (tRNA) molecules are approximately 80 nucleotides in length. Their secondary structure includes four short double-helical elements and three loops (D, anti-codon, and T loops). The record is from RNAcentral. Lineage: Eukaryota; Metazoa; Arthropoda; Arachnida; Araneae; Nephilidae.